Molecule: non-coding RNA, 416 nt
Organism: Pelobates cultripes (western spadefoot toad)
Lineage: Eukaryota; Metazoa; Chordata; Amphibia; Anura; Pelobatidae
Source: the annotation of a GenBank genome assembly
CAGCAAAUUCACAAUGUGUUUUUCCUGUAAACUUUUUUUUUUCUUAUUUGGGUAACAUUGUUGUAUGUAAUGAUUGCUAGUUUAAUUUGCUCUUGGGACUGAGUCUGUGCUUUCCGAUACCAUCUCUCAGCAGGGAUAAAUGAAUAAAUGCAAAAUACAAUACAUUAGUAUCCUUAACGCAGUGCAGAAUAUAUGUUGUGUAUUUGGGAACAAUAUGCUUUAAUUGUCCACUGUUAUAUUACCCUGUUUUCCUAGCAAUCAACAAAGCAUUCCUCCCAUUAAGAAUGAAUAUGACUCUUGGAAUUAAUUCUUUAGACAAAGGGCUCACUGAAGUGACAUUCAUUCCAAAAGGAUUACAUCCCUGCUGUUGAUAAACAUGUAUUGUACAUCUGUCUGUUUAGAUCUGAAAAUGUUAU